UGUUCCAAUAACAGUGUCGGUUACAAGAUUUCGAAGACAGAAAGGAAAUGGCGGCCGGGUAGAUUCGGACACUUUUUGAGGCAAUGUUUCUGCAGCCGGUACAAUAGGGGUUUUUUCAUUCUGUGUCGAGAAAUCGUUAUCAUGGCAGGCUAAACUCGCAACUGGAGGGGGAGUGUUUCUCUGGGAGUUAGUUAUAUGCACCCUAUACACCAAUCAGCCAUAACACUAUGACCACUGACGGGCGAAGUAAAUCAUCUUUUUAUCGUGGCACGGGUGGGGUAUAUUAGGCAGCGAGUGAACAUUUCAUCCUCACAGUUGAUGUGUUAGAAACAGGGAAAAUGGGCAAGCGUAAGGAUCUGAGUGACUUUGAGAAGGGCCAAAUUGUGAUGGCGAGACGAUUAGGUCAGAGCAUUUCCAAAACUGCAGCUCUUGUGGGGUGUUCCCGGUCUGCGGUGGUCAGUAUCUAUCAGAAGUGGUCCAAGGAAGGACAAGCGGUGAACCGGCGACAGGGCCAUGGGCGGCCAAGCCUCAUUGAUGCAUGUUUUAGGCAGAGGCUGGCCCGUGUGGUCGAAUCCAACAGCCGAGAUACUGUAGCUCAAAUUGCCGAAAAA
Long non-coding RNA from Spea bombifrons (plains spadefoot toad), 611 nucleotides. RefSeq lists it as uncharacterized. The transcript has 2 exons. The record is from RefSeq and is a predicted model, not a curated record. NCBI's taxonomy places the organism in Eukaryota, Metazoa, Chordata, Amphibia, Anura, Pelobatidae.